GCAUAAUCAUGGUCACGGUAAGCUGACUCGAUAUCUUUAUUUCUGAAUUCUGUUCAGUACACUGAAAAUAUCAGAGUCAGGACGGUGCUGGGUGAAACAUUGGAUUUGAAGCAGCAUUUUUUUGCAGUGAAGUAAGUACAAAUAACAGGCACAAGCUGCCAGAAAAACACAAUGCAAAGAUAUCUUGAAGGUGAAAUGAGGGGAAGAAGUGCCACAACUUUACAUGACAGGCAAAAUUACAAAAGUGUUGGCCCUGGAUGGACUGAAUUACCACAGCUCUAUCUAUGGUUGCCUGAAUAAUUAAAACAAAAGGAAAAACUUUAGGAUAAUAUAAGGAAAAAGAAAGUGUAAAAAUAAAAGGAAAGAAUAUAAAUAUAAAUAGAAACAUAAAUGAAAAAUUAAAACAAAAGGAAAGGAAAAACCAAGAAAAGAAAACAAAAAAGAUAAAUUUAAAUGAAAGGAAAAAAGAACAAAAACAAAAACAAAAAUAAAAACGGAAGGAAAACAACAAGAAAAUAAUAAUAGAAAAACG
Molecule: long non-coding RNA, 532 nt
Filed under: Hordeum vulgare
Lineage: Eukaryota; Viridiplantae; Streptophyta; Magnoliopsida; Poales; Poaceae
Description: long non-coding RNA (HVUL_LNC011309)
Source: RNAcentral